This is a non-coding RNA of Penaeus vannamei (Pacific white shrimp), 618 nucleotides long. The record is from RefSeq and is a predicted model, not a curated record. Lineage: Eukaryota; Metazoa; Arthropoda; Malacostraca; Decapoda; Penaeidae.
UCACAACAGGUCGAAUGAAGAAGACAUCUGGAGUUUUCUUCUUUAAGGACUGCGGUGCCACAGGCGAUCAGUGCGGAGCCUCACCCAGCAGGGGGAUCUUCGCAUCUGAUUUAACCUUUGUAGCAUGUUGAUAUAUUUUCUUGCUUUGUAUACAUAUGAUAUGUAGUUGCAUGUGCUCCAUACAUAUGCAUGUUAUAUAAAGGUUUAUUUACUGUCUAGUGAUUAAAAUACAUUUUUGCAAUAUUAUUUAACCAAGGUAUUAAAUUAUUUGUAUUUUAGAACAUUCUUAUAGUAUUAUGCAACAAAAUAGUACAUAUUUUGGCAGAUAAUUUCUUCGUAAUUCAAGAGAGGAGAGUAAUUGCUUAUUCCUGUGUGACUUUUUUUUUUACCUUUUGACUGUGGUAUUUGGUAUCUUUCAUGCUUCUCUUUGGUAUGGAUCUUCAAUAGGACAGGAGCCAUUCUCCAUUUAGGAAUUUGGUCUCUGGUAUUAUUAGUCAAGAUGAAGAAGGUUUAUAUUAAUGUGGAUUAAAUUUCCUUUCAUUGCAGACAUACAGUUAGAUACGUUGUUCCCAUUGUUUCUUGUGUGAAUAUUGGACCAAUAAAUGAUAAGAAAGACUU